GCAUAUCAAUAAGCGGAGGAAAAGAAACUAACAAGGAUUCCCCUAGUAACGGCGAGUGAAGCGGGAAGAGCUCAAAUUUAAAAAUCUGGCGGUCUUCGGCCGUCCGAGUUGUACACUAGAGAAGCGUUUUCUGUGGCGGACCAUGUACAAGUCUCUUGGAACAGAGCGUCAUAGAGGGUGAGAAUCCCGUCCUUGACAUGGACCCCCCGUCGCUGUGCGAUGCGCUCUCGAAGAGUCGAGUUGUUUGGGAAUGCAGCUCAAAAUGGGUGGUAAAUUCCAUCUAAAGCUAAAUAUUGGCGAGAGACCGAUAGCGAACAAGUACCGUGAGGGAAAGAUGAAAAGCACUUUGGAAAGAGAGUCAAACAGUACGUGAAAUUGUUAAAAGGGAAACGAUCAAAGUCAGUCGCGUCUGCCGGGACUCAGCCUUGCCCUCGCGCAUGGUGCAUUUCCCGGUUUGACGGGCCAGCGUCGAUUUUGACCGGCGGAAAAGGGUCGGAGGAAUGUGGCUCCUCACGGAGUGUUAUAGCCUUUGGCCGCACACGUCGGUUGGGAUCGAGCUCACUCGCACGGCACGCCUCUGGUGGUGCCCGCGCUGGCGUAAUGGCUUUGACCGACCCGUCUUGAAACACGGACCAAGGAGUCUAACAUGUCUGCGAGUGUUUGGGUGACAAACCCGAGCGCGUAAUGAAAAGUGAUGGUUGGGAACCCUUUGCGGGGGGGCACCGACGCCCCGUGGCUGACCUUCUGCGACGCGCACGAGGCAGAGCAUGCAUGUUGGGACCCGAAAGAUGGUGAACUAUGCCUGAAUAGGGUGAAGCCAGAGGAAACUCUGGUGGAGGCUCGUAGCGAUUCUGACGUGCAAAUCGAUCGUCAAAUUUGGGUAUAGGGGGCGAAAGACUAAUCGAACCAUCUAGUAGCUGGGUUCCUGCCGA
This 932-nucleotide ribosomal RNA is filed under the name Botryobasidium vagum. Its description in RNAcentral is "LSU rRNA". It matches the Rfam family "Eukaryotic large subunit ribosomal RNA", at positions 38 to 964 of the family's 3401-position model. Lineage: Eukaryota; Fungi; Basidiomycota; Agaricomycetes; Cantharellales; Botryobasidiaceae. The record is from RNAcentral.